CCUGCUUCCCUCAAAGGGCGAUGUGCAGCACUGCCUCCCAGCAGCACAGCCCUCUGGCAGAGCUGACGUUUCCAUUUUGGCAAACUGCUUGGGAUGCACUUUCUCCACAGCUUGAAAUCUGAGCAUAAUGCUAUCUUCACGAACCAUAUUCACCAGCCUGAUAAUGUGACAUAACAGAAGCACCCUGCUGACAUUUUCCAGCUAUUCCCGAAACAAUGGUGAGGGUGGGAAUGCUGUGAGCAGGCAGAGCUGUGAAGAAGGUUUUUCCUGUGUGGCUGCUGCUGCAUCUUGCUGCUCUGGGAUGGUGCAGGCUGUGCUUGAGCCCAGGACACUGGCAUGGCCAAGGACAAGGAUGGCACCAGGUUGCAAGGACGGAUUCUCUGGAAACGAAUCCCUUUGGGUGAGCUCUCCAUCAGCACGUGCUUCUCGGCAGGAAAAAAACCUGGAGCGGUGUGUAGUUUCAGCUUAAUUACUGCCAAGGCAAGAACAUUGCCUUCUUGCCAGAGGCUUGCUUUCAUCCCUGCUCAGACAUCACACGGUUACUGUUGGCAGAACUGUGGAAACACUUGGAACUUUGCUAUGAUAAAUAUGUCUUGGUAACCAGGAAUGCAG
RNAcentral lists this long non-coding RNA (612 nucleotides) under Gallus gallus (chicken). RNAcentral's name for it is "lncRNA (ENSGALG00010018671.1)". Lineage: Eukaryota; Metazoa; Chordata; Aves; Galliformes; Phasianidae. The record is from RNAcentral.